Molecule: long non-coding RNA, 305 nt
Organism: Anas platyrhynchos (mallard)
Lineage: Eukaryota; Metazoa; Chordata; Aves; Anseriformes; Anatidae
Source: RefSeq, a predicted model, not a curated record
AAAACACCUACACAGGUGCAUGAAGAAGGAGGCUGGCUGGAAGAGAGAAGCAAGACAUUAUAAAGAGGAAGACUAAUGCUUGUUGACUCACAGAAGGGUUUCUGGGAGCCCAGGCAGUUUCUGAGUUAUCGUGUGCCAGCAGAGCAGACCUAUUCUGUGAUGUUGAAAAGGUCUCCCUUGUACAGUCUCACCACCAAAGAAGAGUGCCAGUUACAAAGGAAAACUGCACCAUCACCCCUGGUCUUUCUCUCUUGGAGCAUCACAAGGACAUAUCAGCUUCCUACUGUUUUGUCAGUAUCUGCAUG